This 406-nucleotide ribosomal RNA is filed under the name uncultured bacterium. RNAcentral describes it as "partial 16S ribosomal RNA". It matches the Rfam family "Bacterial small subunit ribosomal RNA", at positions 360 to 773 of the family's 1533-position model. The record is from RNAcentral.
AAUAUUGCGCAAUGGGGGUAACUCUGACGCAGCGACGCCUCGUGAGCGAUGAAGGACUUCGGAACGUAAAGCUCUGUUCUUGGGGAAGAAGGUCCUCGGACUUGACGGUACCCAUGGAGGAAGCCCCGGCUAACUACGUGCCAGCAGCCGCGGUAAUACGUAGGGGGCAAGCGUUGUCCGGAAUUAUUGGGCGUAAAGGGUGCGUAGGCGGCCAUUAAAGUCAGAUGUGAAAGCCCACGGCUCAACCGUGGGAUUGCAUUUGAAACUGGAGGGCUUGAGUAUCGGAGAGGGUAGUGGAAUUCCCAGUGUAGCGGUGAAAUGCGUAGAUAUUGGGAGGAACACCAGUGGCGAAGGCGACUACCUGGACGAUUACUGACGCUGAUGCACGAAAGCUAGGGGAGCAAAC